AUUGAACGCUGGCGGCGUGCCUAACACAUGCAAGUCGAACGUGAAAGUUCCUUCGGGAGCGAGUAAAGUGGCGCACGGGUGAGUAACACGUGGAUAAUCUACCGGGAAGUUGGGGAUAACGACUGGAAACGGUCGCUAAUACCGAAUACGCUGUUCUAUUUGUUUAGGACAGGAAAGGAGGCCUCUGCAUAUGCUUCCGCUUUUCGAUGAGUCCGCGUCCCAUUAGCUAGUUGGCGGGGUAAAGGCCCACCAAGGCGACGAUGGGUAGCUGGUCUGAGAGGAUGAUCAGCCACACUGGGACUGGAACACGGCCCAG
RNAcentral lists this ribosomal RNA (316 nucleotides) under uncultured bacterium. Its description in RNAcentral is "bacterial SSU rRNA". It matches the Rfam family "Bacterial small subunit ribosomal RNA", at positions 30 to 334 of the family's 1533-position model. The record is from RNAcentral.